GAAGUUGAGAGCCUUAUGGAGGGGAGAGAAAUUAAGAAAGGAAACGCUAUCUUGGGAUUGUCACCGUUUUUAGACUCCAGAGGACUUCUUCGUGUUGGAGGAAGAUUGAGGCGUGGAACCAAAUCACUUCGGCAGAUUGAAACUUGUCCUAUUUUGAGACCGAAGGGAAGUCAUUUAGCAACCUUAUUAGCUCUGCAUUGUCAUGAACAGGUCUUUCAUCAAGGUCGACGCCUCACAGGAGGGAAACUUCACAGCAUGGGAUUCUGGAUAGUGGGAGCGAAAAGGUUAAUCAACAGUCUUCAGGGGAAAUGUGUCACCUGCAAAAGAUUGCGUGGUACAUUCUGCUCUCCUAAAAUGGCUGAACUUCCUGAAGACCGUUUAAGUCCUGGACCCCCUUUUACUUACGUCAGAGUAGAUGUAUUCGGUCCGUGGAGCAUAACCGCACGCAAAACGAGGGGAAGUCACGUAACGCAGAAAAGAUGGGCUGUACUUUUCACGUGUUUAACCAGCAGGGCAGUCCACAUCGAAAUCUCAGAGGAACUCAGCACUUCAAGUUUCAUCAAUGCGAUGAGGCGCUUUAUCGCCAUUCGAGGACCAGUCAAGAUCUUUAGAUCAGAUCGUGGCACCAACUUUGUCGGUGGAGUCAAAGAGUUGGGGAUGAAGAACGUUGUAACCGAAGAUGCCUCUGUCAAGAACUUCUCAGCGGAAAACAGCUGUGUUUGGAUUUUCAACCCACCACAUGCUUCUCAUUUCGGAGGCGUGUGGGAGCGAAUGAUCGGAAUCACGCGAAGGAUUCUAGAUGGGAUCUUGCUGAGCAAAAAGUACAUCAAAGAUCUUACUCAUGAAGUGCUUGUUACCCUCAUGGCUGAAAUCAGCGCUGUCAUGAACUCCAGACCAAUUGCGGCAAUAUCCACAGAUCCUGAUGACCCGUCCAUAUUAGCGCCAGCCAGUCUUUUGACCCAAAAGGUUGGAACACCACCAGAUGACAUCCCUCAGUUUGGUAUCAAAGAUAUAUACAAGUCACAGUGGCAGAGAGUCCAGGUGAUGGCAGAUGAGUUCUGGAAAAAGUGGCAGAAAGAGUACCUGACAGGACUUCAGAACAGGAGAAAGUGGGCGACGGACCAACCUAACCUAAAGACAGGAGACAUUGUUCUGUUACGUGAGUACCAUUCUGGAUGCAACUCAUGGCCGACUGCCAUGAUCAAACAGACUUUCCCGGGAGCUGAUGAAAGAGUGCGAGAAGCGGAGAUCCGUUUGUUUAGAGGAGAAAAAGAGUUCACUUACGUCCGUCCCGUUCAUGAACUUGUGCCAUUGAUCACUGAUUGAAUUAACACUGCUUUGUACAUUCACAAACUGCUCUAAUGUGUUUUCAUUGUUUGUGUUUUGAUGAGUAAGAAUGAUUGUUUUCUCAUUACCCUUUAUGUAAGGUCUUUUUAAUUGUCAGUUUAUUUUGAAUUAUUUCAUUAGGGUGAUUUUUUUGUAAAAUCAGGAGGGGAGUGUAGUGCCCCGGAAUUAUUCUUUCCGGAUUUGUUGGUUUUUACUUUAUUUUUAUUGUAAACCGGAAACGAUCUAAGGCAUCAGUGCCAACCUCGUGGGUUCCAGAACCCAGCAUAUUUUACUGUGUUUAAAGCCACCUAUGAAAUUCCUCAGGUAAGCAGUGCAGCUUUGGUGGUGGUGUAUGAUAAUGGAGACCCAGCUGACAUCCACUACUUAGACUCUGUCAAGUGCCAG
Molecule: RNA transcript, 1731 nt
Organism: Saccostrea cuccullata (small rock oyster)
Lineage: Eukaryota; Metazoa; Mollusca; Bivalvia; Ostreida; Ostreidae
Gene name: mitochondrial genome maintenance exonuclease 1-like
Exons: 2
Source: RefSeq, a predicted model, not a curated record